This is a long non-coding RNA of Corythoichthys intestinalis (scribbled pipefish), 1000 nucleotides long. RefSeq lists it as uncharacterized. NCBI's taxonomy places the organism in Eukaryota, Metazoa, Chordata, Actinopteri, Syngnathiformes, Syngnathidae. The record is from RefSeq and is a predicted model, not a curated record. The transcript has 3 exons.
CGCCGGGAAAGGAGUGCCUUGUACCGGCUACGAGUCGAACCCACUGCCCGCCUCUGCGCAUGCAUGUUUUUAUUUAUUUAUUUAUUUUUGAAAGCCACUCAUCCACCUGCGCAGGUAAGUUUCAAGUGAGGCACGAGUGCGAUGAAGUGGAGAGUGUCCGCUUUGAGUGAGAAUUAAAAGAGAAAGUACGAGGAACGUACCUGCUUGCUGACGGGGACAAACGUUGGUGUUGGUCCGAUGACACCGGAGCGCGGCGGUGAGCGGAUUCCGGUCCAGCGGUGAUAAUAAAGCCUUAGAAAUAAAGCCUGCUAGUGGUUGGGAGGAGGGAGGGAGCGCGCGUCCUGCUCGGGCAGGUUUACAACUGAUGUCUUACACCCACUCCAGGAAACAAACCUGGGUCGGGACUGACGUGUUCCGCCUCUUCUAAUGACAUUUUUUUCUUUCCACCUCCUUUUCUUUGCAGUGCACACGGAGGAGAAGCCCCCUGAAACGCACGCCACCUAUCUUCACGGGAGGGGAUAAUUGAGGGGAGCCAAACUGAAACCAACUAUGUCCACACCGAGUUUGUGUGUGUAUGUGUGUGCGCGGGGGGGAACUUGAAGCACGUCCACGGCAGCCGCAAUCACCUUCGCAACAUCAAACCGCGUGUCUCUCGACGGGCUCGAGCUCCAAUAGCCGCCAACGCCACGCUGCCGAGAUUGACGGACCAGUAGAGAGCGGAAGGUGACGGCCGGGCCAUGUGAUGUGUGAGAGCUCCUCCAACGUGUAAAAUGAAGAGUUUACAUUUGAUCUCUCUCGCUCGAACAAGAAGGAGAACAAGCACAAACAAAUGUUUGCACUGAGAGCUAUUGAUUUUGCAUCUUCUCUGCUAUUCGCUUACACACACGGCGCUACCACCUCCAGACGAGCACAAAAAACACCCUCUGAUACAAACAGCUGCAUGUUAAAUGAAGUUGCUGAUGCCGGAUUGAGUAAAUAAAGCAUUUAAUACAACCUUGAA